RNAcentral lists this ribosomal RNA (253 nucleotides) under uncultured bacterium. RNAcentral describes it as "partial 16S ribosomal RNA". It matches the Rfam family "Bacterial small subunit ribosomal RNA", at positions 524 to 776 of the family's 1533-position model. The record is from RNAcentral.
GACGAACCGUGCAAACGUUGUUCGGAAUCACUGGGCUUAAAGGGCGCGUAGGCGGCUUCCCAAGUCCGGGGUGAAAUCUUUCGGCUUAACCGGAAAAGUGCCUUGGAUACUGGGAGGCUCGAGGGGGGUAGGGGCAAGCGGAACUUCCGGUGGAGCGGUGAAAUGCGUUGAUAUCGGAAGGAACGCCGGCGGCGAAAGCGGCUUGCUGGACCCCAUCUGACGCUGAUGCGCGAAAACCAGGGGAGCGAACGGG